Ribosomal RNA from Homo sapiens (human), 109 nucleotides. The record is from Rfam. NCBI's taxonomy places the organism in Eukaryota, Metazoa, Chordata, Mammalia, Primates, Hominidae.
GCCUAAGACCAUACCACCCUGAACGCGACUGAUCUCGGAAGCUAAGCAGGGACGAGCCUGGUUAGUACUUGGAUGGGAGACCGCCUGAGAAUACCAGGUGCUGGAGGCU